UUUUGACCUCAGUUCAGACAAGGCUACCCGCCGAAUUUAAGCAUAUUACUAAGCGGAGGAAAAGAAAAUAACAAUGAUUCCCCUAGUAACGGCGAGCGAACCGGGAAGAGCCCAACUUGGAAAUCUGGAGGCUUGUCCUUCCGAAUUGUAGUCUAGAGUUGUGCCAUCUGCGGCUGGCCGGUCCCAAGUUCCCUGGAAAGGGACGUCAGAGAGGGUGAGAGCCCCGUCGAGGCCGGUUUAGUCGCUCCACGAUGCGCUUACAAGGAGUCGGGUUGUUUGGGAAUGCAGCCCUAAGCGGGAGGUAAAUUCCUUCUAAGGCUAAAUAUUGGCGGGAGACCGAUAGCGAACAAGUACCGCGAGGGAAAGAUGAAAAGACCUUUGAAAAGAGAGUUAAAAAGUACCUGAAAUUGUUGAGGGGGAAGCGAUUAAAACCAGCGGGUGCUCCCUAGGUAGGCUUUGCCACACGCUAGGGGCUGGUCAACGUGGGUUAGUCGGGGGGGACAUUACUCCUGACUGACCGAGGACUCGACGUUGGCGGAAUGGUUUUAAUCGGCCCGUCUAGAAACACGGACCAAGGAGUCUAA
This 584-nucleotide ribosomal RNA is filed under the name uncultured Micromonas. RNAcentral describes it as "eukaryotic LSU rRNA". It matches the Rfam family "Eukaryotic large subunit ribosomal RNA", at positions 1 to 678 of the family's 3401-position model. The record is from RNAcentral. Lineage: Eukaryota; Viridiplantae; Chlorophyta; Mamiellophyceae; Mamiellales.